This 78-nucleotide transfer RNA is filed under the name Caudoviricetes sp. RNAcentral's name for it is "tRNA-Met". It matches the Rfam family "tRNA". From Rfam's summary of the family: Transfer RNA (tRNA) molecules are approximately 80 nucleotides in length. Their secondary structure includes four short double-helical elements and three loops (D, anti-codon, and T loops). The record is from RNAcentral. Lineage: Duplodnaviria; Heunggongvirae; Uroviricota; Caudoviricetes.
AGCGGGAUAGUCCAAAUGGCAGAGACACGAGUCUCAUAAGCUCGUCUAGUAUGGGUUCAAAUCCCAUUCCCGCUCCCA